This 468-nucleotide ribosomal RNA is filed under the name uncultured bacterium. Its description in RNAcentral is "partial 16S ribosomal RNA". It matches the Rfam family "Bacterial small subunit ribosomal RNA", at positions 28 to 507 of the family's 1533-position model. The record is from RNAcentral.
GACGAACGCUGGCGGCGUGCUUAACACAUGCAAGUCGAACGGAAAGACCCUGCUUUUGUGGGGUGCUCGAGUGGCGAACGGGUGAGUAACACGUGAGUAACCUGCCCUUGACUUUGGGAUAACUUCAGGAAACUGGGGCUAAUACCGGGUAGGAGCUCCUGCUGCAUGGUGGGGGUUGGAAAGUUUCGGCGGUUGGGGAUGGACUCGCGGCUUAUCAGCUUGUUGGUGGGGUAGUGGCUUUCCAAGGCUUUGACGGGUAGCCGGCCUGAGAGGGUGACCGGCCACAUUGGGACUGAGAUACGGCCCAGACUCCUACGGGAGGCAGCAGUGGGGAAUAUUGCACAAUGGGCGGAAGCCGGAUGCAGCAACGCCGCGUGCGGGAUGACGGCCGUCGGGUUGUAAACCGCGUUCGCCUGUGACGAAGCGUGAGUGACGGUAAUGGGUAAAGAAGCACCGGCUAACUACGUG